UUAAAAAGCUCGUAGUUGGAUUUCUGUACGAAGACGGUCGGUCCGCUCUUUGAGACGUGUAUCUGAUUCGGUUUUGGCAUCCUCGUGGGGAACGUAACUGUGCUUGAUUGCAUGGUGCGGAAUUCACGACUUUUACUUUGAGGAAAUUAGAGUGUUCACGGCAGGCAAGCGCCUUGAAUACAUUAGCAUGGAAUAAUAAUAUAGGACUUUGGAUCUAUUUUGUUGGUUUCUAGAACUAAGGUAAUGAUAAAUAGGGACAGUUUGGGGGCAUUUGUACUAACGACGUCAGAGGUGGAAUUCCUUGGAUUGCUUUAUGACAAACCUACUGCGAAAGCAUUUGCCAAGGAUGUUUUCAUUGAUCAGAACGAAAGGUAUGGGGAUCGAAGACGAUUAGAUACCGU
This 401-nucleotide ribosomal RNA is filed under the name uncultured eukaryote. RNAcentral's name for it is "SSU rRNA". It matches the Rfam family "Eukaryotic small subunit ribosomal RNA", at positions 619 to 1018 of the family's 1831-position model. The record is from RNAcentral.